CCCCUUCUUGGUGAUAGCCCCUUUCGGACGCCCUCGUGUACGAGAAAUGGGUCCUGUCGUCCCAGUCAAAGUUAGCACAGCGUUGUUGUCAGUCAUAACAGCAAGCGGCUGAACAACCAGAGGUGCAGAAGUCCUCUUGUGUUCCUGCUCAACUAUCUCAAUUUGGCUCUUUUCGUCAUCUGAACCAGACUGUUCUAUAUCCUUUCUACCCUGACUGUCCUGAGGGAUGCAAGCAUCUGAAGCUCGGCCUCCAUCAGAAGGCGGCUUGUCC
RNAcentral lists this long non-coding RNA (271 nucleotides) under Salvia miltiorrhiza (redroot sage). Its description in RNAcentral is "long non-coding RNA (SMIL_LNC012575)". The record is from RNAcentral. Lineage: Eukaryota; Viridiplantae; Streptophyta; Magnoliopsida; Lamiales; Lamiaceae.